UGGUGGAGUGAUUUGUCUGGUUAAUUCCGAUAACGAACGAGACCUUAACCUGCUAAAUAGCCAGGCCGGCUUUCGCUGGUCGCCGGCUUCUUAGAGGGACUGUCAGCGUCUAGCUGACGGAAGUUUGAGGCAAUAACA
This 138-nucleotide ribosomal RNA is filed under the name uncultured eukaryote. RNAcentral describes it as "partial 18S ribosomal RNA". It matches the Rfam family "Eukaryotic small subunit ribosomal RNA", at positions 1299 to 1458 of the family's 1831-position model. The record is from RNAcentral.